Long non-coding RNA from Pocillopora damicornis (cauliflower coral), 612 nucleotides. Lineage: Eukaryota; Metazoa; Cnidaria; Anthozoa; Scleractinia; Pocilloporidae. The record is from RefSeq and is a predicted model, not a curated record.
CAACUCACCACAUUGGGUUUUGGCCACUAAAAGCUCUGUCGCUGAAUUCGUAGCCGAAACCAACCUAGAUGGUCCUGCAAUAAUAGGUAUGGAUCCCGCGCAUGACAAACCAAAUCCCGCGCAUGGCAAAGAAAAGUCUUCCUCACAGAGUUCCCGUGAUGCCAUGGGUGCCGGGGCCGCGGCUGGUAUUACAUUCGGCGUGACAGCAUUGGCAGGAUUGUUGAUCGCAGUCAUGGUCAUUGGCUGGCGUCGCCAUAAGACCAUUCAAAGAGAGAGCAGCGGUUUAAUGGAGCCAUUGAAUCCCAUUGGGUACGGCGCCGUAAAAGAGGAAGGAAGCCCACAAGUUUGAAUUAUGCAGGAACUUUAAAUUGUCUUAAAACUAACAGAUGACUCCAGAUAAUAACUUUAUGUCUCUUAAAACGUUUUUGAAGUUGACAUUUUCUCGCGCUUUGUCCCGUAAAUUCCUUUUUCUGAUAAUUGUGUUUUUCAAGUGACAUUGUUACCAGCGCUUGUUCUGUUUAAAUUGUGAUAGAAGAAAUAACCUUAAUUUCAGAGGCACAGAGAAUGUAAACAAAGGAUGUUUCGUUUGACAGAGUACGGUUACACCUGUUU